CCUACGGCGUGCAGCAGUGGGGAAUAUUGGACAAUGGGCGAAAGCCUGAUCCAGCCAUGCCGCGUGUGUGAAGAAGGCCUUCGGGUUGUAAAGCACUUUCAGUGGGGAAGAAAGCCUUGGGGCUAAUACCCUCGAGGAAGGACAUCACCCACAGAAGAAGCACCGGCUAACUCCGUGCCAGCAGCCGCGGUAAUACGGAGGGUGCGAGCGUUAAUCGGAAUUACUGGGCGUAAAGCGCGCGUAGGCGGUCUGAUAAGCCGGUUGUGAAAGCCCCGGGCUCAACCUGGGAACGGCAUCCGGAACUGUCAGGCUAGAGUGCAGGAGAGGAAGGUAGAAUUCCCGGUGUAGCAGUGAAAUGCGUAGAGAUCGGGAGGAAUACCAGUGGCGAAGGCGGCCUUCUGGACUGACACUGACGCUGAGGUGCGAAAGCGUGGGUAGCAAACAGGAUUAGAUACCCUGGUAGUC
This 465-nucleotide ribosomal RNA is filed under the name Vreelandella stevensii. RNAcentral's name for it is "partial 16S ribosomal RNA". It matches the Rfam family "Bacterial small subunit ribosomal RNA", at positions 338 to 795 of the family's 1533-position model. Lineage: Bacteria; Pseudomonadati; Pseudomonadota; Gammaproteobacteria; Oceanospirillales; Halomonadaceae. The record is from RNAcentral.